Arachis duranensis is the source of this 3008-nucleotide long non-coding RNA. RefSeq lists it as uncharacterized. The transcript is spliced from 3 exons. The record is from RefSeq and is a predicted model, not a curated record. Lineage: Eukaryota; Viridiplantae; Streptophyta; Magnoliopsida; Fabales; Fabaceae.
UAUAAAGUAUAGCUGCAACUAUUGAGAUGUUGAUUCCUUAAGAGCAAGACUUUUGGAUACGAAAAAUGAAGCAGGUAAGCAUGCGCCGCCAAAAAGAGUUUUGAAGCAUUAAUUCUUGCAGACCACAAAGCCUAUGAUUAGUUUAAUACGCUAGAACAUACACCGGUUACAUGGAUACCCGAAUAUGAAGAGAGCUUCCAACCUCCAAGAGAAGGAUUAACCCCAAAUCCAGUAAUCAGGAUACCCGAACUUAUUUAACAACUCGGAAUUAGUGCGAUACAUUACCAGAGGGGUUUAGGAUACGUGUAAAUACAACAUCGUAAAGUGGUAACAGAUGCCCUAAGUAAGAAGUUUUUGGGAAAAAUGCUUGGAUAUUAAGGGUAUAGCUAAAGGAGUCAAACUAAAUCUAUUGCGAUUUUAAAACAUAGCAAAGACGAAAUGCAGGAAGCGUGAGGGGACGAUAAAUACCUACCAAGGAUGUCGAAGUCUGGCAAACGAAAGGGAACUAAGAAAGGAUUUAUAUGUUUAAUGUCGAAGUAGAGAUCGUAGAGUCAAGGACUUAAGGAGUGCAAUAACAGUGAUAAGGAGCUACUAAGAGAACCAAAGCCGGCUGAAUCAAGAAGACACCAUGAGCGGGUUAUGUGUCGAGAUUAGGAGUUAGAGUGAGAAACUGUUGUCCGAAGAAUACAAGAGAGGAUUUUUGAAGUUACCUUGGGGUCUCUAAGACGUAUCGCGAAUUCAAGAAGAUAUUUUGAGCCGCCAGAAGUGAAGAACAAAGUGACGAUCAAUGUGAUUACAUGUCCGACGCAUGAGAAAGAAAAGAGAAUAACCAUCGAUUUCAUAAUAGAUUGCCGAUGACUAGGACAAAAGGUGAUACUAUUAGUGAACUGUAGAUCAAGUGACCAGGCCCGUUUUGCCCAUCGGAGUAGACCACUUCUUGGGGAUAUCAAAGAGACUAUACAUCAGGGAGAAGGUGAGAUUUCACAGUAUGUUAAACACAUUUGAAUUAACCGAAAACUGGAAUACCAAACGUCUUAGUUCCUGAAUUUGACAGCCGAAACAACGGAGGGAGAGUGACACAAAUCUAAGUUAGAAUUUUCACUAUGAAAGCCGACAAAAGAGUUAGGCAGAUCUAGGAAGAAGACUUCUCAAGUUGGAAGGAAGAGGAUACCUAUUUCUGAAGAUCACUUCAACGAACUAAGAUCGGAUGAUCAAUCAAAAACUAAAAAGCUAAAUUCCCAUCACAUCGGACCAGUGGCAUAUAGGAUCGCUUUACUAUCACAAUGUUCGAACCUGCAUGAUGUGUUUCACAUAUUACAGCUUCAUAAAUACACUUUCGACCCAGUUAUGUCCUACAACCAGAAUCAGUCCAAGUAAGAGAAGGUCUGACGCUUCCAGUAACUCUGGUUAGGAUUGAUGAUACUAGCAUUAAACGUUUACGCGGGAGCGAGGUUUUCUUAGUGAAAGUAACUUGGUGUUGGGCUGGUAUUGAAGAAUACACCUAGAAGCUUGAGACAGAGAUGCGGAAGGACUACCCACACCUCUAUUCAGGUAGCGCACUCUGAAUUUUGAGGACAAAAUUCCUAAUUAGGUGGGUAGGAUGUAAACCCCGCUAAAAUCGGUAUAUAAUUAGUCAAUAAAUCGAAUUUUCAAUAGGAAAAUUAAAUACGCAAAACUGAUAUCAAAAUAGGAUAGAGCUCGUCGAAACGAGAAUUUCGAUACCAAUUUCGAAAAGUUUGGCCCAAGAUUGGGCCGGAUGGGCCGGACUGGUUGAACCGGACCCAAAAUGGGCCCAAGGCCCAACCGAACCCAAUCCAUUAAAGAGGCACAGCUUCUUAUUUCCCUUCUUCUUCAUUAUUCACGCUGGGAAACAUUUCUUAGGGGGAAGAAGAACACAAGCAAAAACCUAACCCUCACUUUAAUUUCAAAUCCAUGUAACUUUUGAUCCGGAGCUCCGAUUGACGAACCGCUUGCGGCCACGCGUUCACCGCGACGAGCUCUAUGAAACCCAUGGAACAAUUUGGUUCAAGUUAGCUUCCGGAACUUGUGGGCUCAAGCUAUUGAGCAUAUGGGUAUGGUGUAGAUUAAGUGGGUAUAUAUGCAUUGGGAAUGUUUGGAGGCUUGUUGGUGAUCAAAGCUUAGUUUGUGGCUGUUUUACUUGAGCUUGAAGAGGCUGUAAUUUUGUGUUGAGAAGCUGCCUUGGGUGAAUUAAGUGAUCGGCCAAGGUAUGGUUUAAGUUUCGUACGUUUAAUAUUUACGGUGUUGUGAAAGCUUAGGUUAGAGAUACCAUAGGAUAAGUUGAAUUGUUUGUUGUAUUUAAUGAUUAGCCUUGUAAUGUUAUUGGAAAGGAUUUGUUGGUGGAUAUAUAUAUAUUGGAAUUAUGAGGUGUGGAAGUUAUUAAUAGUGUGUUCUUAUAUUUAUUUAUGAUGGAUUAGGAUUGGUGUUUGUUAAUAAGGAUGUAGAGUUGUGUUGUGGUGGUAUUGCAUGUGCUGUAACUAAUUAUGUAAUGAUCGGAUUUGCAUGAGACUAAAUCUGGGUUAAACUUGGGAAUAUAAGGAACUAAACUGGAAAAAUUGGGACCUUUUUGUUAAAUAUACAAUUUAUGGCAAAUUUUUAAAGAUAGGUUGUUAAAUCUGUCCUGCAGCAGAAAAUGUCAAACAGGGCAGCAACUUGUUGGUCUUGCUGCGACUUCUACGAGUUGAGUUUUGGAGCGAAACCAAUUUUGUUAUAAAAUUUGAUUAAUUUUCCUUAUUUCUCUAAAACUUCAUAAUUUUAAGAGUUGAGGAUUGGGAGUUGUGAGUUUUUGAAUAUUGGCGGUCAGAGCUGAAAAGAAACAGAUUUCAGCAAGCUAUGCAUCAACUUCCAAUGCUUGUAACUUUUAGAAUUGAAUAGCAAUUGGGUUGUAACCAAGACACACUUGUUUCUGGAUGAGUAAAGUUUAACUACAUUAAUUUUUAAAGUCAUUGGAUUUAACUUGGAUUUUAUAUUGAAUUUUGAAUAUCACAUGC